Molecule: ribosomal RNA, 332 nt
Filed under: uncultured bacterium
Lineage: Bacteria
Description: bacterial SSU rRNA
Rfam family: Bacterial small subunit ribosomal RNA
Source: RNAcentral
CAUGGCUCAGGAUGAACGCUAGCGACAGGCUUAACACAUGCAAGUCGAGGGGCAGCAAUUUGUAGCAAUACAAAGUUGGCGACCGGCGCACGGGUGAGUAACGCGUAUGCAACCUACCUACAACAGAAGAAUAAUCCGGCGAAAGUCGGUCUAAUACUUCAUAAAACAGGGACAUCGCAUGGUGUUGUUUGUUAAAGAUUUAUCGGUUGUAGAUGGGCAUGCGUACCAUUAGGUAGUUGGUGAGGUAACGGCCCACCAAGCCUACGAUGGUUAGGGGUUCUGAGAGGAAAGUCCCCCACACUGGUACUGAGACACGGACCAGACUCCUACGG